GAUGAACGCUGGCGGCGUGCCUAAUACAUGCAAGUCGAGCGAACAGACGAGGAGCUUGCUCCUCUGAUGUUAGCGGCGGACGGGUGAGUAACACGUGGAUAACCUACCUAUAAGACUGGGAUAACUUCGGGAAACCGGAGCUAAUACCGGAUAAUAUAUUGAACCGCAUGGUUCAAUAGUGAAAGACGGUUUUGCUGUCACUUAUAGAUGGAUCCGCGCCGCAUUAGCUAGUUGGUAAGGUAACGGCUUACCAAGGCAACGAUGCGUAGCCGACCUGAGAGGGUGAUCGGCCACACUGGAACUGAGACACGGUCCAGACUCCUACGGGAGGCAGCAGUAGGGAAUCUUCCGCAAUGGGCGAAAGCCUGACGGAGCAACGCCGCGUGAGUGAAGAAGGUCUUCGGAUCGUAAAACUCUGUUAUUAGGGAAGAACAAAUGUGUAAGUAACUAUGCACGUCUUGACGGUACCUAAUCAGAAAGCCACGGCUAACUACGUG
Molecule: ribosomal RNA, 497 nt
Filed under: uncultured bacterium
Lineage: Bacteria
Description: partial 16S ribosomal RNA
Rfam family: Bacterial small subunit ribosomal RNA
Source: RNAcentral